UACGAAGGGGGCGAGCGUUGUUCGGAUUUACUGGGCGUAAAGGGCGCGCAGGCGGCAGACCAAGUCAGGCGUGAAAGCCCCGGGCUUAACCUGGGAGGUGCGUCUGGGACUGGUAUGCUAGAGUUCGGGAGAGGAGAGUGGAAUUCCCAGUGUAGAGGUGAAAUUCGUAGAUAUUGGGAAGAACACCGGUGGCGAAGGCGGCUCUCUGGACCGAGACUGACGCUGAGGCGCGAAGGCCAGGGGAGCAAACGGG
RNAcentral lists this ribosomal RNA (253 nucleotides) under uncultured bacterium. RNAcentral's name for it is "partial 16S ribosomal RNA". It matches the Rfam family "Bacterial small subunit ribosomal RNA", at positions 524 to 776 of the family's 1533-position model. The record is from RNAcentral.